CAUAGCUUCUUGUUUAUUAUAAGAAGUGACGCCUGCCCAGUGAUUUUUUUAACGGCCGCGGUAUUUUGACCGUGCUAAGGUAGCAUAAUAAUUUGUUUUUUAAAUAAAAACUAGUAUGAAUGACUUCACAUUUUCUAACUGUCUCUCUUUACUUUCCUUUAAAUUUCUAUUUCCGUGAAGAAGCGGAAAUAAUAUUGUAAGACGAGAAGACCCUGUCGAGCUUUAGCCAAAUUAAGAUUUAUAUAUUUCUUAAAUAAGCUUUGGUUGGGGUAACCAUGGAGUAAAAUAAACCUCCAGAAACUAUAAGACGAAAUAUUUUUCUCUUAACUUAAAAUUGAACCAAUUUUUUUUGGUAGCCAGAAAUAGUUACCGCAGGGAUAACAGCGUAAUCUUCUUUAAGAGCCCAUAUUGACAAGAAGGUUUGCGACCUCGAUGUUGGAUUGGGGCCCCCAAAAAGUGCAGCCGCUUUUUAAGGUUGGACUGUUCGUCCAUUAAAGCCCUACGUGAUC
Molecule: ribosomal RNA, 509 nt
Filed under: Peniagone leander
Lineage: Eukaryota; Metazoa; Echinodermata; Holothuroidea; Elasipodida; Elpidiidae
Description: partial large subunit ribosomal RNA
Rfam family: Bacterial large subunit ribosomal RNA
Source: RNAcentral